UGGGGAAUUUUGGACAAUGGGCGAAAGCCUGAUCCAGCAAUGCCGCGUGUGUGAAGAAGGCCUUCGGGUUGUAAAGCACUUUUGUCCGGAAAGAAAUCCUUGGCUCUAAUACAGUCGGGGGAUGACGGUACCGGAAGAAUAAGCACCGGCUAACUACGUGCCAGCAGCCGCGGUAAUACGUAGGGUGCAAGCGUUAAUCGGAAUUACUGGGCGUAAAGCGUGCGCAGGCGGUUUGCUAAGACCGAUGUGAAAUCCCCGGGCUCAACCUGGGAACUGCAUUGGUGACUGGCAGGCUAGAGUAUGGCAGAGGGGGGUAGAAUUCCACGUGUAGCAGUGAAAUGCGCAGAGAUGUGGAGGAAUACCGAUGGCGAAGGCAGCCCCCUGGGCCAAUACUGACGCUCAUGCACGAAAGCGUGGGGAGCAAACAGGAUUAGAUACCCUGGUAGUCCACGCCCUAAACGAUGUCAACUAGUUGUUGGGGAUUCAUUUCCUUAGUAACGUAGCUAACGCGUGAAGUUGACCGCCUGGGGAGUACGGUCGCAAGAUU
RNAcentral lists this ribosomal RNA (547 nucleotides) under uncultured bacterium. Its description in RNAcentral is "partial 16S ribosomal RNA". It matches the Rfam family "Bacterial small subunit ribosomal RNA", at positions 355 to 895 of the family's 1533-position model. The record is from RNAcentral.